Long non-coding RNA from Manis javanica (Malayan pangolin), 3005 nucleotides. RefSeq lists it as uncharacterized. The record is from RefSeq and is a predicted model, not a curated record. Lineage: Eukaryota; Metazoa; Chordata; Mammalia; Pholidota; Manidae.
AUUCCAGCUCUCAGGUCCCUGGUGCCUCCUGCUGUCUCUCCCUCACUCUGGCAACUGCCCUCACCUAUACAGUUACCAUCUGUGGAAGUUUCUGGAACACAAUGACACAUAGGCCUCAGGAUUUGGUUUUGCUUUUUCUUCCCAGAUCUUCCUGGAAACAGUUAUUUUGAGACAAGCUUGUGUUUUUUUAAAGAGAAGCUGUGAAAGCAACAGGAAAAAGGAUCCAUUUUUAAAUACAGAGUUUCCCUCCAUGUUUUGUCUGCAGCUUGUGUAGACUUUGGGGUGGGGAGUGCUGGUUGUGAAUUCCAUGGAGACUUGCCAGAGGCUGUUUAAACCUGCUUUGUCUGAAGCUGUUGUAAAGAGCUGCCAGGAGGAAGCGUUAAUGGAAGGGAACUUGGGUGCCCUGCUGUGACAGUUGGUGCUUGGGAAGCUUCCAGCACAGAGCGAAUGAGAAAGAACUCAGGGCUGCACAGCCAGAACAGGAAUCUGCAGGACCGAGGUGACUGACUCAGUUCCUAGAAGCUUUUCAAGGUGAGAAGCCUGAGGCCCCAAGGGCAGAGCAAGGACUAAGGCAGAUUAAAGACAGCUUCAGGUUCUUGGACACAUCUCCCAUUAAGAGUGAAAGCUGCCAAAGUGACACUGUGCCAGUUUCUUGAUUCGGACCUUAAGAGACUGGCCCCUUCCACUUCCUGCUUUGUGAACAUGGAUCCUUGGAACCAGAUACCAUGCUGUGAGGAAGCCCAAGUAGCCCCACAGAGACACAUGGAGAGGAAUGGGGAUCGCUGGUCAAUAGCUCCUGCAGACAGUCAGCAUUUUGUGGCCGACGGGAAAGUGGACCCUCCAGCUGCAGUCAAGUAUGGCCUGCUGGAAACCCAGGGAACAAGAAUGGCAUCUCUGCAGAGCCCUGCCCAAAACACAGAUUUAUGAGCAACUGAAAUGUGUGUCGCUGAUGUUGCUAUUUUAAGCCACUAAGUUUUGGGAUGGUUUGCUAUGCAAUGGUAGAUGAUCAGAACAAGGACCAGUGCUGCUUCCACUCUACUGCUCUGGUGCUCAGUGGUUCUUUCUGGGACACCCUGGCCACUCACCAGUCUCAGUGGUCUGAGAAGUUGGAAAGACUGUGCAUUAUCUGUGAGCACUGUUGGACUGGAUGACUUUAGCAAAAGUUACCAAAUCCCUGGGGCCUGGGGGCAAGGUACAGAGGUUUCUGAGGCUCAUUCCAGCCAUGUAUUCAAUUAGAAUCCCUAGGAGUGAGACCCAGACACUUCUAUUUUUUAAAGCUUCCCAGGUGAUUCUGAUACUCAGGCAGCUUUGGAAACCACUGAUCAUGAGUCAUUUGCAAAUGGAAGAAAUGUCCCUGUAUCACCUACAUUCACAGAUUAUCCUAAACUAGACAUUACUGGAAUUUUCCCAUUUAUGUUAAGAUCCUGGGCAGGAUGAGUUAUAUCUACUCCCUGGUUAAGUCAACCCUGGGACUUCCAAGCCCUCAACAUACUUACCCUACAUUUAACUUGGUGUUAACUUGGGAUCUUCAGUCUAGAUGUCUGUGAUGCUCCUGGGCUCCAAGCUAAUAUGUAUAAAUGAAAGGAAUGUACCCCUUAGUUAUUAGUGUUUUUUUGUCAAAUAUUUGUGGGCCUUGCCUCUUCUCAGCAUGUAAUAGGAUUGCAUUUCCUGAACCCCUGUGAUUGAGUGGAACCAUAUAAAUAAUUAACUCUAGCCAAUGAACAGAAGUGAUGUGUAUCACAUCUGGGCCAGAACAUUUUAUGACAAGUGCAAGACCCUCCAGAAUUCUUUUUCCAUCUGCAUCAUAAAUGACUAUGUUCCCAAUGGUGGUUCUAUUAACAUGCACUUCUGAAUGACAAUAAUGUACAAGACCUCCUUGCUGACCUACAAUAGACAUAUAAUAUAAGUGAGAAAGGAAUUUCUUUUGUUUUAAGUCAUUGAAAUAUGGAGAAUGUUUGCUAUUGUAGCAAAAACUAGCCUAGCCUGACUGAUAGAGCCAGAGAUGGUAGGCUUAUCAUUCAGAAGCCUCCUCUCUCUAUGUGUCUACUGGGAAGGAGCAUGUUCCAUACCAGUUUGAAUGUGUAGGUUUUUCCAUUUUAAAUAUUUAUUAAUCCCAAAGUUCUAUUCCCAUUUUUGCAUGAAUGAAUACUUUUCCCCCUGGUCAACUUAUCAGGAAUCUGUCAGUAUUCUUAGAAUAGCCAGUAAGUGUUGCGUUCGCAACAAGAUGUUAUCAAUUGAAAGGUAAUGGCUUUGUUUGUUCAUCACAUGGGACUCUGAUAACUAGGAAUGCUGGGGCAUAAACUAAUAAAGAAAAUGUUGCUUAAAUGUAUAAAAUACUUUGUGGAAUAUUAUUUUUUAAAGGGCUAUUUUAAAGGGCUAUUAUAUUUUAAAGGGCUUCUGAAAAGCGAGUGGUGUGAGAUAAUCUGUCAGUGAAAAAAGUGUGGAUUUCCUACAUGAAGCAAAGGUGUGCUCUACAGUACGACUUUAUAUUCAGAGGUCAAUUCCCCCCUGCUCUGAAGCAGAGAAUUUGAGAGCCCGGUAUUCAAAGGGAGGAAGUGCAGCAUCGUCUCCUGUAGCACAUGGUGCUUCAUCUGUGCAGCUGUGACUUGUCCUUGAUGGCACCUCUUUCCCUUAGGAGGAGAACACAGCCUGAGUGACUGCUUUCUUUCAUCUUUGCAAAAAUAGUCACCAAUGCUUUGAGGUAUCCUGGGUAGUAGGAUUUGUCACUUUACAAAAAACUAAGUAUUUCCCUACUUGAUCUAUAUUUGAAUUUGGUUUCUGAAUUUGGAAGCUUUAACAUUUUAAUCAAGUAAUAUGUGUUUAUGAUCUGUUAAUAAAUAUUCAAUAUGCAAAUGAUACUACAAUUGUUUUUGCCACCUUCCAUUUUCCAUUCUCCUCCCCAUGGUGGAUUGCUGUUACUAAUUAUAUGUGUGUAAUUUUUGUAUACAAAUUUACGUGCAUGUAUGUACCUAUAAAAUUAUAGUAUUUUUAUUUUGAUUUUUUUA